RNAcentral lists this ribosomal RNA (460 nucleotides) under uncultured bacterium. Its description in RNAcentral is "partial 16S ribosomal RNA". It matches the Rfam family "Bacterial small subunit ribosomal RNA", at positions 338 to 795 of the family's 1533-position model. The record is from RNAcentral.
CCUACGGGAGACAGCAGUGAGGAAUAUUGGUCAAUGGGCGCGAGCCUGAACCAGCCAAGCAGCGUGAAGGAUGACUGCCCUACGGGUUGUAAACUUCUUCUAUAAAGGAAUAAAGUGAGGCACGUGUGCCUUUUUGUAUGUACUUUAUGAAUAAGGAUCGGCUAACGCCGUGCCAGCAGCCGCGGUAAUACGGAGGAUCCGAGCGUUAUCCGGAUUUAUUGGGCUUAAAGGGAACGUAGAUGGGUUGUUAAGUCAGUUGUGAAAGUUUGCGGCUCAACCGUAAAAUUGCAAUUGAUACUGGCAGUCUUGAGUACAGUAGAGGGAGGCAGAAUUCGUGGUGUAGCGGUGAAAUGCGUAGAGAUCACGAAGAACUCCGAUUGCGAAGGCAGCUUACUAAACUGCCACUGACAUUGAUGCUCGAAAGUGUGGGGAGCAAACAGGAUUAGAUACCCGAGUAGUC